Molecule: long non-coding RNA, 1125 nt
Filed under: Meriones unguiculatus (Mongolian gerbil)
Lineage: Eukaryota; Metazoa; Chordata; Mammalia; Rodentia; Muridae
Description: lncRNA (ENSMUGG00000001353.1)
Source: RNAcentral
GUGCUAUAUUUUGCAUAUACAUCUGCAUGACAGAAGAGGGCACCGAAUCUCAUUAUAGAUGGUUGUAAGCCACCAUGUGGUUGCUGGGAAUUGAACUCAGGACCUCCGGAAGAGCAGACAGUGCUCUUAACCUCUGAGCCAUCUCUCCAGCCCCAAGGCAUUUCUUAAUUAGCUGAUUAAUGGGUGGGGCCAUCCUUGGAAAGGUGGUUCUGGCUUCCAUGAGAGAACAUGCUCAGCACGCCAGCGGGGGUGGGAGGGGGGAGCAAGCUAGCAAGCAGGAUGCCCCUGGCCUCUCAGCAGCUGCUGACUUCUUGGAUAAUGAAGGGUGUUGGAGAACGAUGCAAACUCAGACGGAUACCUGUUUCAAAUGAAAUAAAACAGAACAAAAGUGAAAACUGGGAGCCGGAAGUCUCAGAGUUUGGGAGAGUGAAACCAAAGGAGUGAUGGGUUUUUGGGCUAUAUGAAUACCAGGUUGUCCUGGGCUACAGCACACAGCAAGACCUGGUUUCGAUUCCAGGAGGUUAGCUGGCAGAGACAGCUGCCCUGACAGCCUGGGACUUCGCCUUCUGCACUGCCUGGCUCAAAGGGCGGGGGUGGGUUAGACCCUCAGAAAUGGGUCUUGUCAAAGACCAGCUACCAGUCACCCCGCUGUGACGGCUGUGUAGCGCCUGUGACUCAGCCUUUUUAUUGAUGCUGAUGCUUUUAGUUUUUUUUAAAGUUAAUAUCAAGUUCAAGGCCAGCCUGGUCUACAGAGUGAUUCCAGGACAGCCAAGGCUACACACAGAAGAAAAACCCUGUCUAUCCCCGAUUGUGUGGGCAGCCUUCACGGCAUCACGUAUUGAAAGAUCAUUGUGUACGAUUAUGAGGGUGCAUUUGCCCAUGUGCGUGUGUAGACUUCAGAGGUCAAUGUUCAGCGUCUCCCUCCCCCAACCUUUUUUGAGACGGUGUCUCUCACUAGACCUACCAGGAUCCUGCCAGUUGGACUGGGCUGGCUGCUGGCCACCAGAAGCCUGUGCUGACCUCCCCCCAGCACCGAAGGAUGGAAACUCUGCUUGUGUGCACACGGCAAGCACAGAAGAGCCGAGUCCCUCUGUGCGCCCCUCCAUCUCUGCUGACGUCUUCUGA